This 80-nucleotide microRNA precursor is filed under the name Chlorocebus sabaeus (green monkey). RNAcentral describes it as "miRNA (ENSCSAG00000025009.1)". Lineage: Eukaryota; Metazoa; Chordata; Mammalia; Primates; Cercopithecidae. The record is from RNAcentral.
AGAAUUCAAGGCUGUAGUGUUCUGUGCUAGUGCCUGUGAAUAGCUACUGCACUCCAGCCUGGGCAACAUAGUGAGAUCUC